CCAGGAGAUGCUGAUUCUUUUAGGCCAGGAGUCUCAUUUAAGCAGCAAGAGUGUAGACCUCUCUUCAGUGAAGAUUCCUGUCCACACCUUGGAGAUCUUUUGAACCUUGCACAUUGACAAAUGCGCUUCCCAGGUGGCAGUAAUGGUAAAGAACAAGCCUGCUGAUGCAGAAGACAUGAGACUCGGGUUCGAUCCCUGGGUCAGGAAGAUCCCCUGGAGGAGGCCAUUGUGGAAGCUGCCAGAAGAGGGGAAGGGUUGCAUCGUGUGGCCACAAAUGAAUGGAUCUCACCCAGGGAAAGCAGACCAAGCAAUGGAACCUGUUGUUUGAGUCCUGGACCAAAUUGUGCCUGCCUCCCCAAUGAGCCAAUAAAUUUUCUUUAUUGCUUAA
Bubalus bubalis (water buffalo) is the source of this 388-nucleotide long non-coding RNA. RefSeq lists it as uncharacterized. The transcript has 3 exons. The record is from RefSeq and is a predicted model, not a curated record. NCBI's taxonomy places the organism in Eukaryota, Metazoa, Chordata, Mammalia, Artiodactyla, Bovidae.